GUUCCUCUGUCUUCACAUCUCUCACCUACUCCUUACAUUAGGCAGACCACCACACCCAUAACUUUCAAAGUUUGAACACAAAUCGUCCUUAAAACACAUGCAAAAACCUGCAAAACCAGAGAGAGAGAGAGAGAUGGUGAAGAACAUAAGUGAGGUGGGAGUGGAGAACUUUGUUCAGGCAGGGCUAGACGUUGAAGAGGCCAAGGAUUUCGAUAGAGUCCUCAAAAAUACAAUCUCCCGCACGAACACAACGGACCCAAAAGAGAUAUGGCGGCAGAUAGUGGCUGAGAGAUUGCUGAAACCAUCACACCCUCAUGAGCUGCACCAGUUGAUCUACUACUCAGUCUAUGCCAAUUGGGAUGCCUCCACCAAAGGCCCUCCUCUCUACUGGUUCCCUUCUCUACACCAGUCGCGACAAACAAACUUGGGGCGAUUGAUGGAAAAGCACGGUUCAGAGCUUUUAGGAACAUCAUAUAAGGAUCCCAUAACAAGUUAUACACUCUUCCAGGAAUUCUCUGUUGGGAAUCCCGAGGCUUACUGGUCACUUGUUCUAAAAGAGCUCUCGGUUUCAUUUCGAAAAGUCCCAAAGUGUAUUUUGGAUAGGACUGACAAAUCAAAACGCAGUGGAUCCUGGCUUCCACAUUCAGUUUUCAAUAUUGCUGAAUGUUGUUUGCUACCCACCAGCCACCCAAGAAAAGAGGAUGAUAGUUUGGCUGUUGUAUGGAGGGAUGAAGGUUGCGACGAUGAUUCUUUUGUUAAUCAUAUGACAUUAAAGGAACUUCGGGAACAAGUAAUGUUGGUGGCUAAUGCACUGGAUGCAACCUUUUCAAAGGGUGAUGCAAUUGCUAUCGACAUGCCAAUGAAUGUCAAUGCGGUUAUCAUAUAUUUAGCAAUUGUACUAGCAGGAUUCGUUGUUGUAUCAAUAGCAGACAGUUUUGCUACAAAUGAAAUUGCAACUCGUCUACGCGUGUCUAAAGCAAAGGGUGUCUUUACCCAGGAUUUCAUACUAAGGGGAGGCCGGAAGUUUCCUCUCUACAGUCGAGUUGCAGAGGCCGCUCCACAUUUAGCUAUUGUGCUUCCAGCAAUUGGGAGCAAUGUAGGCAUUCAGUUAAGAGAGCAGGAUCUAUCCUGGCAUGAUUUUCUUUCUCGUGUCGAUCACCUUCCAAGAAAGAACUACUACUCUCCAGUCUAUCAGCCAGUCGACUCCGUGACUAAUAUUCUCUUUUCAUCUGGAACCACAGGAGAUCCGAAAGCUAUUCCAUGGACACAACUUUCACCAAUUAGAUGUGCUGCUGAUUCAUGGUCUCACAAUGAUAAUCAAGUUGGGGAUGUCUUCUGCUGGCCAACAAAUUUGGGAUGGGUUAUGGGUCCAAUCUUACUCUACUCGUGCUUUCUAACUGGUUCAACUCUUGCUCUGUAUCAUGGGUCUCCUCUCAGUCGUGGCUUUGGAAAAUUUGUUCAGGAUGCCAGAGUAACUAUAUUGGGCACAGUUCCAAGCUUAGUAAAGGCUUGGAAGAGUACACAGUGUAUGAAAGGCCUAGACUGGACAAAGAUAAGAUCAUUUUGUUCCACUGGUGAAGCGUCUAGCGUUGAUGAUGACCUUUGGCUCGCUUCCCGUGCUUACUAUGGACCCAUCAUUGAAUGUUGUGGGGGCACAGAGCUUGCUUCGUCCUACAUCAUGGGAAGUCAGCUACAGCCACAAGCUUUUGGAGCAUUUAGCACAAAGUCGAUGACAACAGGCCUUGUCAUCUUUGAUGAACAUGGAAUUCCUUAUCCAGAGGAGCAAGCUUGUGUUGGGGAAGUGGGUUUGUUCCCGCAAUUAAUGGGAGCGACUGACAGGCUGCUAAAUGCUGAUCAUGAAAAAGUUUACUUCAAGGGAAUGCCGAUGUAUAAUGGAACGCAACUUAGGAGACACGGAGACAUACUGAAAAGAACUGUUGGAGGCUAUUUGAUUGUUCAAGGCAGGUCCGAUGAUACCAUGAACCUCGGUGGCAUCAAGACAAGUUCUGUUGAAAUUGAGCGCGUCUGUGACCGGGCUGAUGAAAGCAUCUUGGAGACAGCUGCAGUCAGUGUUGCACCCAAGAGUGGUGGUCCUGAACAGUUGAUUAUAUUUGUCGUAUUAAAUAAGGGAUAUAACUCCGAACCAGACGAGCUGAAGAAGAAAUUCUCAAAAGCCAUUCAAAGCAACCUUAACCCUUUGUUUAAGGUGAGCUUGGUCAAGAUUGUACCAGAAUUUCCUCGAACAGCGUCCAACAAGUUACUAAGAAGAGUUUUGAGGGACCAAGUUAAGCAUGAGCUCUCUGUUCGGAGCAGAAUGUAGCAGCGCCGAGCAGACUCGACUGUCAACCAACAGAGCCCACUUCCUUUUGUAUGGGUGAAUAGGACAAGUUUUCUGCUAGCAAUACAUUACACUCGAUGCUCACUGCUCUUAUUGCUGGCAUUGGGAACUGAAACCAUAUUGUUGCUUGCAUUGGCCAAAUUGGAUAUGGUAUGAAGUCGAAUGCUCAGGCGAAUGUUCGUUCAAAUACUUAGUCCUCCUCAACUGGCAACUCAAAGAAGCGAUAGUUGCCUCCGCAUUCUCAAGCACUUGAAUGGGCACCCCGUGAUUUACCAACUGAAAGAACCCCUACUUUUCUGCUGCCUUGCAAAUAGAAUCUGCCACUUUCCGGUCCUCCCAGUUCGACAUGUGAAUGAUAGGGAUGGGGUCUUGUAACAUUAUCAUGGUACUGAAUUCUUUCUUCAAGGGGUUGUAUAUAUUGGUAGGGAAUGCUUUUGAGGCCCAAUUCUAAGGGACCCUUUACUCCAUUACCUUUGUUUAUAACAAAGUCAGUGAUAUGUGAGAGGUUGGUGUUGGUUUUGGGGCCUAUA
This is a non-coding RNA of Malus domestica (apple), 2868 nucleotides long. Lineage: Eukaryota; Viridiplantae; Streptophyta; Magnoliopsida; Rosales; Rosaceae. The record is from RefSeq and is a predicted model, not a curated record.